GAUGAACGCUGGCGGCGUGCCUAAUACAUGCAAGUCGAGCGAACAGACGAGGAGCUUGCUCCUCUGACGUUAGCGGCGGACGGGUGAGUAACACGUGGAUAACCUACCUAUAAGACUGGGAUAACUUCGGGAAACCGGAGCUAAUACCGGAUAAUAUAUUGAACCGCAUGGUUCAAUAGUGAAAGACGGUUUUGCUGUCACUUAUAGAUGGAUCCGCGCCGCAUUAGCUAGUUGGUAAGGUAACGGCUUACCAAGGCGAGGAUGCGUAGCCGACCUGAGAGGGUGAUCGGCCACACUGGAACUGAGACACGGUCCAGACGCCUACGGGAGGCAGCAGUAGGGAAUCUUCCGCAAUGGGCGAAAGCCUGACGGAGCAACGCCGCGUGAGUGAUGAAGGUCUUCGGAUCGUAAAACUCUGUUAUUAGGGAAGAACAAAUGUGUAAGUAACUAUGCACGUCUUGACGGUACCUAAUCAGAAAGCCACGGCUAACUACGUG
RNAcentral lists this ribosomal RNA (497 nucleotides) under uncultured bacterium. RNAcentral's name for it is "partial 16S ribosomal RNA". It matches the Rfam family "Bacterial small subunit ribosomal RNA", at positions 28 to 507 of the family's 1533-position model. The record is from RNAcentral.